ACAACGCUGCUCUCCAGCGCGUCUCAUCCGCUGAAGGUCGUGCGACUUCGGGGACAAGAAAGUACAUAUAAGAGCGCGAUUGCCGAGCGAUCAUAACAUUCCUCGACUGAACGCGAAGCUUAGUGUGUCGGGAGACGUCGCGUGCUAUUUAUUUUUUCGAGUCAAUCGGAAUCAACGUGCUUGAAAUACGUUGCGUUAUUUUCUACGCGGUAGCAUCUUCUCGAACGGCAACUGUAUUCGGCGAUCGUAAAAGUGACUGUCGUUUUGCACUCUUGUUGAGUUUGGUUUAUUGUGUUUAUUAGAUGUGUUAAAGCUUACGGCCAUACACGAUGGGUGCCGUCCGCUAGGAUAUAGUUUCGAUAGACGCGAAUGUCGUACUGGAGGAGCCAGUUCAGGCCGAGCAGAAUCGAUUCGAAGAGCUUGCGACCACACACAAUGGGUGCGGUUCCCGGGGGAGGGUGCAGUUUCGGCGGACGCGAAUGCCGUACCGGAGGAGCCGGUUCGGGCCGAGCACAGUCGGCUCGAAGAUUUGUAGCGGAACGCGGCCGGCUGUGAGUUCCUGGUAUUUCGAUUUGUCGGAGCUUGCGGUCGCAUCAGGAAGGCAGACAAAGUUCCAGUGGAAGUGAAUGCCGCACCGGAGGAUUUGGUUCAGGUCGAGCAGAGUUGACUCGAAAGUAGCUUCAUAAACUCAUAUAUUUCACUUCGUAACCCUUUGCUGUCGAAAGCCGAGACGUAACAGAAUGAUCCGAGUUACAACCGCAGAGAAUCGAUCUCGUAGCGGAAUGUGGUUGACUCCCAGUUCAAACUCUAAGUGGAUAAUUAAGAAAAAGUGUGCUGGUUUAGGAUUCAACGUGUAGAACCAUGCACGAGAAAACUGUUUUUUCGAUAUAAUGUUCUAAUUAUUCCGAGCAGAGUCCAAUGACACGUUCGGAAUUGCGUCGCCGCGCACGCAACUUCACAAUUAUUUCCCUCGCGUUGAUAGGUUUCCCUCGCGAUCGUAGCGACCAUUGGUACUUUCUAAAUGUCCGUUUCCGGUCUGUGACUUUUUUAUACGCGACUCGCGAGUGGCGAUUACGUUCCUGGAGCGUUGGAUUAUUCAUCACGUGUUUCAGAACUGCAGUGCGAAUUUAUCGAAUUUAACGAUAGAGAUUCAUUAAACUAACCCGUGCAUUCUGCUUUCGUCUCUCGUUAAUUGAACUCGUUCUCCGAGUUAAACAAAGUUUUCAUUAAUACGGCCGUUAAUUAAUUAAACGCCGCCGAAACGUGGCUACUAAUCGUGACGAUGUGAAGGGAGAUGAAGUGCAAUCAACGUAGGACGACACAGGAUGAAGGUUGGCCGCUGCGAACUUUUGGACACGAAACGUCGCAGUUCGUUUGGGAUGCAGAAGCGAGUUUUGUCCGUGAAUCAGCUUGGACCUGAGUGAACUUCUGGACGUCAAUGGACGGCGAUGGAUUUCAGCGCGAAACGGGGAACAGCAUUAUGGAGCAGAAUUGUUCGAUACACAUUGUCCUGGACAAUUUAACAGCGAGGAAAAACAAUCCUUAUCGAUUCCAACCUCCUCCGGCGCGGCAUCGGCUGCCGAUGCCUGGCAAUUCGCGGACUCGACUCUGGUAAAUCGAGCCCAGAAGAGCAAAGCGGAGCAAAGCGGAGCAAACGGGCGGAGGGCUUAGUGAUCGGCGAUGAUAAAAUUGCAAUGAUUCAGG
This 1704-nucleotide long non-coding RNA is filed under the name Harpegnathos saltator (Jerdon's jumping ant). RNAcentral's name for it is "uncharacterized LOC112588396". The record is from RNAcentral. Lineage: Eukaryota; Metazoa; Arthropoda; Insecta; Hymenoptera; Formicidae.